RNAcentral lists this unclassified non-coding RNA (257 nucleotides) under uncultured fungus. Its description in RNAcentral is "sequence contains ITS2". The stretch from base 1 to 52 matches the Rfam family "5.8S ribosomal RNA", at positions 103 to 154 of the family's 154-position model. Lineage: Eukaryota; Fungi. The record is from RNAcentral.
AACGCACAUUGCGCCCGCCAGUAUUCUGGCGGGCAUGCCUGUUCGAGCGUCAUUUCAACCCUCAAGCCCCCGGGCUUGGUGUUGGAGAUCGGCGUGCCCUCCGGGGCGCGCCGGCUCCCAAAUAUAGUGGCGGUCUCGCUGUAGCUUCCUCUGCGUAGUAGCACACCUCGCACUGGGAAACAGCGUGGCCACGCCGUUAAACCCCCCACUUCUGAAAGGUUGACCUCGGAUCAGGUAGGAAUACCCGCUGAACUUAA